CUUGGGUUUAGUCCUCCUCUACUAGACAGCCACUAGAGGAGACUUACGUGUUCAUAGAACACGAAAAGUGUUUUAAAACGGCUCUGGACGUCCUCACACUAUGUGGGGACCUCCAGCGUCGCCGAAAUCCCCAUAGGAAAGCAUUGUGUAAUGCUUUCCUAUAGGGAGGUCUAAUGUGCUUGUGCGGCCAUUGAAGAGAGUAGGCAGAGCCUGACUCAGCGCUGAGGGACAUCAGCGCUGGACUCCGGUAAGUCACUGAAGGGGUUUUAAACGCCUUCAACAACUUGGGAUGAGGGGUGGG
Molecule: non-coding RNA, 301 nt
Organism: Pelobates cultripes (western spadefoot toad)
Lineage: Eukaryota; Metazoa; Chordata; Amphibia; Anura; Pelobatidae
Source: the annotation of a GenBank genome assembly